AUGAAAUCUCAAGGUCAACAUUGGUGUUCCAGUUCAGAUAAAAACUGUAAAGUGAGCUUUCGUGAGAAGCUUCUGAUUAUUGAUUCAAACCUGGGGGUCCAAGAUGUGGAGAACCUCAAGUUUCUCUGCAUAGGAUUGGUCCCCAACAAGAAGCUGGAGAAGUCCAGCUCAGCCUCGGAUGUUUUUGAACAUCUCUUGGCAGAGGAUCUGCUGAGUGAGGACGACCCUUUCUUCCUGGCAGAACUCCUCUAUAUCAUACGGCAGAAGAAGCUGCUGCAGCACCUCAACUAUACCAAAGAGGAAGUGGAGCGACUGCUGCCCACCCGACAACGGGUUUCUCUGUUUAGAAACCUGCUCUACGAACUGUCAGAAGGCAUUGACUCAGAGAACUUAAAGGACAUGAUCUUCCUUCUGAAAGACUCGCUUCCCAAAACUGAAAUGACCUCCCUAAGUUUCCUGGCAUUUCUAGAGAAACAAGGUAAAAUAGAUGAAGAUAAUCUGACAUGCCUGGAGGACCUCUGCACAACAGUUGUACCUAAACUUUUGAGAAACAUAGAGAAAUACAAAAGAGAGAAAGCUGUCCAGAUAGUGACACCUCCUGUAGACAAGGAAGCCGAGUCGUAUCAAGGAGAGGAAGAACUAGUUUCCCAAACAGACGUUAAGACAUUCUUGGAAGCCUUACCGCAGGAGUCCUGGCAAAAUAAGCAUGCAGGUAGUAAUGAGGGCAACUGUGUACAGGAUGAAUCGGAACCACAGAGGCCUCUGUGUCAUUGUCAACAACCACAGCUUUACCUCCCUGAAGGACAGACAAGGAACCCAUAAAGAUGCUGAGAUCCUGAGUCAUGUGUUCCAGUGGCUUGGGUUCACAGUGCAUAUACACAAUAAUGUGACGAAAGUGGAAAUGGAGGAGGUCCUGCAGAGGCAGAAGUGCAAUCCAGCCCAUGCCGACGGGGACUGCUUCGUGUUCUGUAUUCUGACCCAUGGGAGAUUUGGAGCUGUCUACUCUUCAGAUGAGGCCCUCAUUCCCAUUCGGGAGAUCAUGUCUCACUUCACAGCCCUGCAGUGCCCUAGACUGGCUGAAAAACCUAAACUCUUUUUCAUCCAGGCCUGCCAAGGUGAAGAGAUACAGCCUUCCGUAUCCAUCGAAGCAGAUGCUCUGAACCCUGAGAAGGCACCCACUUCCCUGCAGGACAGUAUUCCUGCCGAGGCUGACUUCCUACUUGGUCUGGCCACUGUCCCAGGCUAUGUAUCCUUUCGGCAUGUGGAGGAAGGCAGCUGGUAUAUUCAGUCUCUGUGUAAUCAUCUGAAGAAAUUGGUCCCAAGACAUGAAGACAUCUUAUCCAUCCUCACUGCUGUCAACGAUGAUGUGAGUCGAAGAGUGGACAAACAGGGAACAAAGAAACAGAUGCCCCAGCCUGCUUUCACACUAAGGAAAAAACUAGUAUUCCCUGUGCCCCUGGAUGCACUUUCAUUAUAA
This 1477-nucleotide small RNA is filed under the name Pan troglodytes (chimpanzee). RNAcentral's name for it is "processed transcript". Lineage: Eukaryota; Metazoa; Chordata; Mammalia; Primates; Hominidae. The record is from RNAcentral.